This 465-nucleotide ribosomal RNA is filed under the name uncultured bacterium. RNAcentral describes it as "bacterial SSU rRNA". It matches the Rfam family "Bacterial small subunit ribosomal RNA", at positions 338 to 795 of the family's 1533-position model. The record is from RNAcentral.
CCUACGGGUGGCACCAGUGGGGAAUUUUGGACAAUGGGCGAAAGCCUGAUCCAGCAAUGCCGCGUGCAGGAUGAAGGCCUUCGGGUUGUAAACUGCUUUUGUACGGAACGAAAAGCUUCGGGUUAAUACCCUGGAGCCAUGACGGUACCGUAAGAAUAAGCACCGGCUAACUACGUGCCAGCAGCCGCGGUAAUACGUAGGGUGCAAGCGUUAAUCGGAAUUACUGGGCGUAAAGCGUGCGCAGGCGGUUUUGUAAGACAGAGGUGAAAUCCCCGGGCUCAACCUGGGAACUGCCUUUGUGACUGCAAGGCUAGAGUACGGCAGAGGGGGAUGGAAUUCCGCGUGUAGCAGUGAAAUGCGUAGAUAUGCGGAGGAACACCGAUGGCGAAGGCAAUCCCCUGGGCCUGUACUGACGCUCAUGCACGAAAGCGUGGGGAGCAAACAGGAUUAGAUACCCUGGUAGUC